CACUAUCGUUAACUGAAUACAUAGGUUAACGAGGCGAACCGGGGGAACUGAAACAUCUAAGUACCCCGAGGAAAAGAAAUCAACCGAGAUUCCCCCAGUAGCGGCGAGCGAACGGGGAGCAGCCCAGAGUCUGAAUCAGCUUGUGUGUUAGUGGAACGGUCUGGAAAGUCCGACGGUACAGGGUGAUAGUCCCGUACACCAAAAUGCACAGGUUGUGAACUCGAAGAGUAGGGCGGGACACGUGGUAUCCUGUCUGAAUAUGGGGGGACCAUCCUCCAAGGCUAAAUACUCCUGACUGACCGAUAGUGAACCAGUACCGUGAGGGAAAGGCGAAAAGAACCCCGGCGAGGGGAGUGAAAAAGAACCUGAAACCGUGUACGUACAAGCAGUGGGAGCACCUUCGGGUGUGACUGCGUACCUUUUGUAUAAUGGGUCAGCGACUUAUAUUCUGUAGCAAGGUUAACCGUAUAGGGGAGCCGCAGGGAAACCGAGUCUUAACUGGGCGUUAAGUUGCAGGGUAUAGACCCGAAACCCGGUGAUCUAGCCAUGGGCAGGUUGAAGGUUGGGUAACACUAACUGGAGGACCGAACCGACUAAUGUUGAAAAAUUAGCGGAUGACUUGUGGCUGGGGGUGAAAGGCCAAUCAAACCGGGAGAUAGCUGGUUCUCCCCGAAAGCUAUUUAGGUAGCGCCUCGUGAACUCAUCUUCGGGGGUAGAGCACUGUUUCGGCUAGGGGGUCAUCCCGACUUACCAACCCGAUGCAAACUACGAAUACCGAAGAAUGUUAUCACGGGAGACACACGGCGGGUGCUAACGUCCGUCGUGAAGAGGGAAACAACCCAGACCGCCAGCUAAGGUCCCAAAGUCAUGGUUAAGUGGGAAACGAUGUGGGAAGGCACAGACAGCCAGGAUGUUGGCUUAGAAGCAGCCAUCAUUUAAAGAAAGCGUAAUAGCUCACUGGUCGAGUCGGCCUGCGCGGAAGAUGUAACGGGGCUAAACCAUGCACCGAAGCUGCGGCAGCGAC
This 1024-nucleotide ribosomal RNA is filed under the name Klebsiella variicola. RNAcentral describes it as "bacterial LSU rRNA". It matches the Rfam family "Bacterial large subunit ribosomal RNA", at positions 146 to 1212 of the family's 2925-position model. The record is from RNAcentral. RNAcentral also lists the same sequence under 6 other names. Lineage: Bacteria; Pseudomonadati; Pseudomonadota; Gammaproteobacteria; Enterobacterales; Enterobacteriaceae.